UGGGGAAUCUUGGACAAUGGGCGCAAGCCUGAUCCAGCCAUGCCGCGUGGAUGAUGAAGGCCUUAGGGUUGUAAAAUCCUUUCGUGGGGGACGAUAAUGACGGUACCCCAAGAAGAAGCUCCGGCUAACUUCGUGCCAGCAGCCGCGGUAAUACGAAGGGGGCUAGCGUUGUUCGGAAUUACUGGGCGUAAAGCGCACGUAGGCGGAUAUUUAAGUCAGGGGUGAAAUCCCAGAGCUCAACUCUGGAACUGCCUUUGAUACUGGGUAUCUUGAGUAUGGAAGAGGUAAGUGGAAUUCCGAGUGUAGAGGUGAAAUUCGUAGAUAUUCGGAGGAACACCAGUGGCGAAGGCGGCUUACUGGUCCAUUACUGACGCUGAGGUGCGAAAGCGUGGGGAGCAAACAGGAUUAGAUACCCCUGUAGUCCCUGAGCGGGCUGGCAAGGCGCAU
This 447-nucleotide ribosomal RNA is filed under the name uncultured bacterium. RNAcentral's name for it is "bacterial SSU rRNA". It matches the Rfam family "Bacterial small subunit ribosomal RNA", at positions 355 to 825 of the family's 1533-position model. The record is from RNAcentral.